This 506-nucleotide ribosomal RNA is filed under the name uncultured bacterium. RNAcentral's name for it is "partial 16S ribosomal RNA". It matches the Rfam family "Bacterial small subunit ribosomal RNA", at positions 28 to 523 of the family's 1533-position model. The record is from RNAcentral.
GAUGAACGCUAGCUACAGGCUUAACGCAUGCAAGUCGAGGGGUAACGAGAGGAAAGCUUGCUUUCCUUGUCGACGACCGGCGCACGGGUGAGUAACGCGUAUCCAACCUGCCCCCAACUAAGGAAUAACCUUGCGAAAGUAAGACUAAUACCUUAUAAUUUCCUCAGAUGUCAUCUGACGAGGAAUAAAGAUUUAUCGGUUGUGGAUGGGGAUGCGUCUGAUUAGCUUGUUGGCGGGGUAACGGCCCACCAAGGCAAGGAUCAGUAGGGGUUCUGGGAGGAAGGUCACCCACAUUGGAACUGAGACACGGUCCAAACCCCUACGGGAGGCAGCAGUGAGGAAUAUUGGUCAAUGGGCGAAAGCCUGAACCAGCCAAGUAGCGUGCAGGAUGACGGCCCUAUGGGUUGUAAACUGCUUUUAUACGGGAAUAAAGUUAGCCACGUGUGGUUAUUUGUAGGUACUGUAUGAAUAAGGACCGGCUAAUUCCGUGCCAGCCGCCGCCGUAA